Molecule: long non-coding RNA, 6541 nt
Filed under: Medicago truncatula (barrel medic)
Lineage: Eukaryota; Viridiplantae; Streptophyta; Magnoliopsida; Fabales; Fabaceae
Description: long non-coding RNA (MTRU_LNC008172)
Source: RNAcentral
CACUUAUAUGUUGCUUUCUUUUGAUAUAAGUCUAAAGAAAGGAUUCUAACAUAAGUAUAUACUUUUUUUGAGAGAAACAUAAGUAUAUACUUAGUUCUUCGAGUUAUGUAAUUUUACUUUCGAAUAUACUUGUUCAUAUAUCUAUAUAGUUAAUAUAAUUUGAUGUGUAUAUAAAUAUUUUUACAUAGUUGAUGCAUAAUUAUUAAAAUCCUAUUUGAAUCUCAAUUUAACAAGAAAAAAAAAUAUAUAAUACUAGUUCAUGUGUGAGUAACAUAAAUUCUUUGUUACAUAUACAGAUUGAAUAUGAAGUUGAAACUUGCAACACAAGUUUUGAGAAUCCAAGUAGUUGUGUCGAUGUCAAGAGAACAAGCUUCCCAAUGCAAAAUGGUGGUUAUCUCAUCUAUGGAGUUGGUCAUCAACAUUCAGGUGCAAUUGGAUCAACUCUAUAUGGAAAGGUGAACAUUAUAAUUGCAAUCAUUGUUAAUAUUUGAAUACCACUGCUCACUAGUGACAUGGUGCAUACACACGGACGGACCCAUGUAGAGCAUGAUGUGGGCCUGGGCCUUCACUUGAUUUGAAAAUGAAAAUAAAAAAUUAAUACCCUUCUAUUGUGUUGGUGGUAAGAUAGUAUUUUCUUGGUAUUACCUUUUGGCUAUGUGUAGUUCUAGUUCCAGAUUAUUAAGUUUUUUUUACCUUAAAGUAAUGACUUCAUAGAUAAUAGAAGUGUAUAGUCUAUACAAUAUAGAUUAUUAUUAUAUUAUAAUAUAUAUACAAAAGGAACAACAUAGAGAGAAUUAAGGGGAAGAUAUAUUAUUUAUUUUAAUAAUUUAAUAACACAUAAUAUAUAUAAUUAUUUUGGUAGGUAGUGCUUAUUUGAGUAUGAGUUCUGAUUAUUCGAGUGAAUUUAUACUAUUAGUUUUGAUAGUGUUUACUUUUCUGUUGAUAUAUUUGCUUUCAGAGUAGUUUUUGAUAUUAACUGCGACAACUGUAACAAUUGAAAAAGAUCUUUCUGCUAUCAAAAAUCAGGUGCGAAAUCUCUAGAGAAAUGAAUGAUAAAAUGAAAAAAUUGUUUGAUUUUUUAUAUCGAGUGUGUUCUUAUUGACACUGUAAAUGAGAAAAUCAUUCAAUAUUUUAAGAUAUGAAAAACCGUAGAGAUAAUUAUUAUGUAUAUUUAUGCUUUUAAAAAUGAAAUGUUACAUGUGUUACCUACAUCAUUUAAAAAUUUUGGGUCCGUCAUUUGACAUGGCCCUCAUUAUACAAUAUUUAUGGGUCCGGUCCCUGUGCAUACAUACCUUAAAAAUAAAUAAGUUGUGUUAUUUGAAAAAUUAAAAUUGUUCAACUUUUACCACAACUUUUAAAUGGUUAACGGAGUACAAAUAAGUAUUUAACUACGUUAAGAAAAUGAUUAAGGGAAAUAUCUGGUAUAAAAACUCAUGAAUCAUCAAUGUGUUUAAACUUGAUUAACAUAAUUUUUAAGAGGGUUAAUAGUGCUUUAUCUCCCUGUAAUAUAAGUCAUUUCCGAUUUUUCCUCGUGUAAUUUUUUUUAUUUACCCCCUUAUAACCCUUUUUAAGAUAUAUGCAAAUCUACAUGUAGUUAAACACAUGCAAAUUAUGGUUAAACCACAAUCAAAGUCGUGAACGAUGAAGUUGCAUUGCCACUUCAUGAGUUUCGACAUGUAAUAUAUCUCUUAAUCAUCUACCAAACGUAAUUAACAAUCUAGUUAAACUUUGUUAAUCCCUUAAAAAAUUGUUGCGCAAGUUAUCUAAAAUUGUUCGUGUAAAAAUAAUUUAUCAAAAUAAAAAAUGAGUUUUAAAUUUGCGGUUUCCCUCAUCCAAUUAUAUAUAUUGGGCAUCUUGAUAUUUUGCUUUAAUGUGAUCAACCUUUAUAAUUAGACUAUAUAUGCUACUUUUACUUCGUUUAUUAGUUAUACUCUUUGUACCCUUAUUACUUUAAUAUUUUAAUUAAAUAUUGGAUCAAAGUUUUGAAAUUUUGGCUGUGAUAUUAAUGUUAGGAUGGGAGAGUUAUAUGUACUUCAAUCCCAAAGUACGGAAAAGGAAGGAAAGCAGGAAAUGAGAAAGGGUAUAUUGUAGGAAUGUCAACAUGUUACCCUAAACCAGGUUCUAUCAAGAUAUUUGAUGGUGAGACUUUAACAUUAGAGAGUAACUACAGUAGCAACAUAAGUCACUCUGGAGUAAUGGGACUUUUCUAUUUCUUGGUGGCAGAAAAGCUACCACAUUACCAUGUUUAACAUUCCUAUCAUUCUUUGUAUGGUGAAUUAUACAAUGGAUUACUUUGAUAGUAUCAAACUUAAUUUAAAUUUCAGUUAGAUUUAUGUUAUCAUUUAGUUGCUUUUGUUAUUAUGUUGUGUUAAGCUACCAAUUGUGAAGUUGGUUAGUUAAUCUUGUGUGAACAACUUAUCUAUGUAAUGUUGUACCCUAUCAUUUCAGUACCCUUUUGAUUUAUUCUCUUUACUUGGAUCAUUGAUAACUCUUCAUCACAUGUAGAUUUUUAACGUCUUUUGUCUUUACUUACACUAGCUGUAUCGAAUGGAAAUACACCCAACACGUAAAUGUGUCUUUUUCCAUAAGAUUGCGCGAUAAUGGAAAAUUUUGUACACAUGUAAUGACCCAAGGGAAAUCUUCCAUUAUCGCGUAAUAUUCUUGUGUCAUUAUCCUUGUGUACAAAAUUUUGGUUAAUUUGUUGAUAAAGUUAGAAGUCUUUUUAGAAAUUGGUUCCAUCAAUAUCUCAUUUAUGUCUUUCUCUUUCUCUUGAUGAAAUCUUCCAUUUCUUAGAAUAUGCAAGCCAAGUAAGUAACACACUUUUCUGUACAUAUUUUUUAAUUAUGUUAAUUUUUAUAAUUAAAAAAAACUUUGCACGCCAUGUCCCUAAUAUGUUUAGAUUAGUUUAUGGGUGCGUUUGUUUUAGCUUUAAAAAAAUAAAUUUUGUGUUAAAAUAAUCUAGAGAUUAAUUUUUAAUGAUUUAAAAAAAAAAAUUGAAGUUAUUUUUGUUUGCCUAUUAUCCAUAAAAAUCCUUUUUUUUUUUUUUUUUUUUAAAGAAAAUGAGUUUUAACAUGUGCAUGUGUUACCUCUUUGUUUAAAAAAAAAAAAAGAUUUUGAGAAAAGCUAAUCCUAAUAGCUUUUCAUUUUAGAGUCAAAAUAUAUUUGUUUGAUAAAAUGAUUUUUCUAAAAAUCCUAAACAAACACUUAAAAAUAAAAAUAAAAAGUGAUUUUUUUAGGAAACAAUUAAAUUUCUUUUGAAAAAUAUCCAAAAAAAAACGGGGCCUAUGUGUCAAAAACAUUUGUGAUAAAAAAGAAACUGUAAUCUUUGAUAUCAUUUUUAAUGAAAUCCUAAUACCACAAUUAAAAAAAAUUACAUCCUUGUGCUUAUACAAUUUCGUUAUGGUCCUCAAAUUACUAGUGUUCAUCAAUUGGACGUUGUUACUCGUAAGCACAUUUUCUUCUCCAUCUAAAUUCAUUAUUUUAUUUUCCAAUCAAUGUUCAAUUUUUGAGUUGGUUUUAAACUUGGAAUUCUCAUUUUGCAGUUUUUAUUUUUAUAAACAACUUUUUUUUUUAUUUUUUAUCGGAGUACAAGUGCAAUCCUAACGUAAUUGCAUAGUGAAAAAACUCUACGCACCUUCUAUAAAAGGUUGCAAAACUUCCACUAAAUCAUGUACUCAAAAGCCAGAAAAGAAAAAAAAAAAAAAACCAAAACCUUUAAUUUACAUAAUGUUUUCUUUCUUUGGCUUUGCACGAGUGUGUUUUCUCUUUCUCUAAUUAUUUACUAUUUUAAAACUAAAGUUUCUUUUAAGUGUUUUGGGGACCAACAUUUAUUAAAUGUUGCUAAUAAGAUUCAAGAAUAGAAAUUAUUGAAAAAUUCUAUAUAAAAAAAAAUAUUUUUUAAAGUUUCAAUGUAUUGAAUGUAUCAUUUUUAAGAUAAAGUUUUGUUUUUGAACUUGUUAACAAAUACCCUCAAGACACUUGUUAGUAUUUCCCAAAUUUAUUCUAGUCUGGUUAUAUGAUCCGUUUGAUUUAGAUAAACCAUUUCAAUGGAGACAAUAACAAUCUUCCAUGUGCUUCUAAUUAUCACUUGGAAAACCUAUCUAACUUUUUAUAUAAAAAAAAAAAAAAAAAAAACAUAUGUUAGGCUUUAAUCAAAUAAGCUGUUUUAUACAUGUUGGGGGUCCUAUAAGAGGAACAUAACAUUGUUAGUCAAAAAAAGAAUAUUUUAUAGUUAGUCUCCAAGUGAUUCAUUCGACCCUAUUCAUUUAGAAGCAUUGAAUCUUACUGUCCAUAUUUGGAUAAUCUUUGUUUUGUUACAACCAUAUUUGGAACAUUUGAAAAGGCACAUUGCAACAUCUUUUGGUGAAUAUAUAUUUGUUUCAAGCUUAACGAUUUUGAACCAUCUUUUAAUAUAUAGUUGCUAAAUGCUACACUAUCAUUUUCAAGAAUAAUUCCUUCCCAAGUUUCUGAGGUACGUUCCUUCACACUUAAUCAUCAUCAUCAUUGACAUAAACAUGAAUAUCCAUCUUUGCUUAUGUUUGUUCAUCAAUUUUGUCUUAUUAUUAGGAGUAUAGUAGCAGUAGCUAGUAGUAGUAUUCUAGCUAGCUCUUUUCAAACAAAAGAAAUGCAAUUUGAUGCUUUGAGUGCAGUUUCUUUUACCAUCAUUUUCUUGAUAUGCAUAGAAAUGUGAGAGCUUCUAUGAUAGAUUAAUUAGGAGAUAAUUUUUCUCUCUAAAUCUAAGGGUGUAUAAUUUGUUGCACUAUACAAUCCAAGUCCAUCAUCCUUCAAAAUGAAGUUUGAUUUUGAGUGAAAAAUAACAUACAAAUUUGGGUUAAUAUAUGAUUAUCCUCUGUAAUAUUAGCAAUUUUCGUUUCACCCUCUGUAAAAAUAUUUUUGUUUAGAUUUCAACCCUGUAAUUUGAAAAUUCUUUGGUUUUGGACCUUCAUAGCAUCAAAUUACAAAAUUUAAGGUACUUUCGCCUCUUGUAAUUUGGGAUAAUUUCGGUUUACCCUCCUGCCAUAUCAUCAAUUUUGUACAGUCAAAAGUCGUGAAGGUCCAAAACCGAAUCUUCAAAUUACAGAGUUGAAAUCUAAUUUUUUUUUACAGGAGGUAAACCGAAAAUCGCUAAUAUUAAAAGGGUAAACAUGUAUUAUAACCAAUUUUUACAGUAAAAAAAGUAAUAAUUACACAUUUUACUUCUUUUACUUUUUUUUAUUUGCACAUAAAAAAAAUCCUCAUUUAUAAAGUGAAUUGAUUGACUUCAAAUAUUUUACUAUACACGAACCAAAUCUAUAUAUGUUUUCAUUUUACUUGGCAUGGUUUAAUGACUUCUAUAUAUGCAAUUGCUUUUAAUUAUUUGUUUUGUAUAAACAGAUCAAGAUGAGGUUUGUAUCACAAACAAGGAACCUUUUAUGGGCAAUCCUAGCACUAGUGUUGUUGUCAAGCACACCAUUCUCAUCAUAUGCUUUUAGGAAGACCAAAAAAAUUAUUCAAACACAAGUUUUUUUCUCUCCCAAGAUUGAACUAAGUCCAGGAUCUGUUUCAAAUAAAAUAUAUUAUGAUGUUGAUUUUCCAAGUGGUCAUAUUUCAGUCAAAAAUUUCUUUGCUGAAGUAGUUGAUGAAUCAGGGCAUUCAAUACCUCUCCAUCAAACUUAUCUACACCAUUGGGUUGUUGUGAGAUACCACCAACCUAAAAAUGUGACAAACAAUAGCCAACAAGGUUUUAUUUUUAAAAGAAAUCAUGGAUUUUGUCAAGAGAAUGUUUUUGGACAAUACUAUGGUCUUGGAUCUGAAACAAGAGGCACAAAUACAUAUAUUCCUCAACCUUAUGGAAUAGAAGUUGGUAAUCAUGAAGAAAUUCCAAAAGGGUAUGUGGAAAAAUGGUUGAUUAAUGUUCAUGCUAUUGAUACUAGGGGUGUAGAAGAUAGAAUGGGGUGUAUUGAGUGUAAGUGUGAUUUGUAUAAUGUUACAAAGGAUGAAAAUGGAAAAAUAUUGAGUCCAAAUUAUAAGGGGGGAUUGCAAUGUUGUCCUGAUAAUAGUAAGUGUAAGCUGAGUAAAGGGUUUUUAGGACCAAAACAAAGUGUUUAUUUGAAAUACACUAUUACUUGGGUUAAUUGGGAAAAGUAUAUGAUUCCUGUUAAGAUUUAUAUAUUUGAUGUGACUGAUACUUUGAAGAUUUCAGAUAAGUCCAAAGGAAUGAGACCAAACCAUGAUUGCAAGGUAAGCCAAAUGAUCAUAUGUUAUAUAUUGUAUUUAUCAUUGAUUAAACGUACAAAUUUGUUGAAAUCUCGUCGAUUGGUACUGUCAGAGUCAGGUUGAUACAUGUUAUGAUUAGAUUAGAUGUGUACAUAAAAUGUUUUUACACUGUUAAUUAUGCAUAGUAAUUAAAUUCAUAUUUGAAUCUCAAUUUUAUUAGAAAAAUAUAUAUAAUACUAGUUCGUGUGAUUAACAUAUAUUCUUUGUUACAUAUACAGCUUGAGUAUGAAGUUGAACCUUGCAACACAAGUUUUGUGAAUCGCAGUAGUUGUGUUGAUGUCAAGAG